GAUGAACGCUGGCGGCGUGCCUAAUACAUGCAAGUCGAGCGAACAGAUGAGGAGCUUGCUCCUCUGACGUUAGCGGCGGACGGGUGAGUAACACGUGGAUAACCUACCUAUAAGACUGGGAUAACUUCGGGAAACCGGAGCUAAUACCGGAUAAUAUAUUGAACCGCAUGGUUCAAUAGUGAAAGACGGUUUUGCUGUCACUUAUAGAUGGAUCCGCGCCGCAUUAGCUAGUUGGUAAGGUAACGGCUUACCAAGGCAACGAUGCGUAGCCGACCUGAGAGGGUGAUCGGCCACACGGGAACUGAGACACGGUCCAGACUCCGACGGGAGGCAGCAGUAGGGAAUCUUCCGCAAUGGGCGAAAGCCUGACGGAGCAACGCCGCGUGAGUGAUGAAGGUCUUCGGAUCGUAAAACUCUGUUAUUAGGGAAGAACAAAUGUGUAAGUAACUAUGCACGUCUUGACGGUACCUAAUCAGAAAGCCACGGCUAACUACGUG
RNAcentral lists this ribosomal RNA (497 nucleotides) under uncultured bacterium. Its description in RNAcentral is "partial 16S ribosomal RNA". It matches the Rfam family "Bacterial small subunit ribosomal RNA", at positions 28 to 507 of the family's 1533-position model. The record is from RNAcentral.